Long non-coding RNA from Electrophorus electricus (electric eel), 281 nucleotides. RefSeq lists it as uncharacterized. NCBI's taxonomy places the organism in Eukaryota, Metazoa, Chordata, Actinopteri, Gymnotiformes, Gymnotidae. The record is from RefSeq and is a predicted model, not a curated record.
GCCUCACCGUAGGUCCUCUCCCGUGUCCGCCGCCUGGUCGGCGGAAUGUGAACCUUGACGCAGCCCCGGAUGGAGCCCAUCCCUUCACCCCUGUCCCAGACUACCGAAGCUGGUCGUGAGCGGGGAAGAGGAAUUAACACACACCGUAGGAUUCAAAGCCAUCGCAUGACUUCACGGAGAGCAGCAAGUAUCAGUGCCUCUUAAUGGAUCAUAGACAAGAAAUGAAGCAGCCAAACUGCUGAUGCAUGUGUGGACCUUGGGAAACUGUUUAGCACCCCAGC